GAAGAGGGAUCUUAGGGCCACUGUCAUCACAGUGGCAGCUUCGUUGACUCUCACCCCUUGCCCCAAAUCGCCGGCCUGCCGCCACUUCCCCUCACUAGAGACCCCUAGGCGUCGACGGCAGAGUUCCUGAGAACCCUGGAGAAGGAACGGCCUGAUACUGAGCUGGGACUCCGACUCCUGGAACAGCCUGAGCCUGAUAUUAUCCGAUGCCCCUGAGGUUGCGUCUUCAAAUGUCUUGCCCCCAAAAUACCAGUUUUUAAAAUUAAUACGUGAUAUUGUAUCCUUGCAAAAUAUUUGUAACAUGUAUGAAAGUUAUGAACCUCUCUAAACCAAGAGACCACAUCAAUCUAAAAGACAGAUGUUAUCAGGUUAGGGCCUCUUCCUGUGUGCUCCUCAUCUUACUGUGCAAGCUGGGAUUCCUGGACAAUGGCAAAUUGAACUGCUCUUCACAGAUAUCUUUGACUUGAUAUUGAUUUAAAAUGAACUGCUUGCUUCUAAGUUUCCACCAUUAAGAAUUAUGUACAUUGUUGUAGAUUUCUGGUAGUUAACUUUUAUUCAGUUAAAGAAAUUCCUUUCAAGACCUAGUUUACUAACAAUUUUGGUCAAGAAUGGAUGUUGAAUUAUAAAAUUGCUUUUUCUAUGUCUAUUAUGAGAACUAUUCUACUGUAUUCUGUUUAUUCAGUGAAUUACAUUCUUGUUUCUUUUAUUAAACUGGUUUUAUGGUUGUUUUGUUUUGUUUGAGAUGGAGUCUCUCUCUGUCGCCCAGGCUGGAGUGCAGUGGCAUGAUCUCAGGUCACUGCAACCUCUGCCUCCUGAAUUCAAGCGAUUCUCCAGCCUCAGUCUCCCAAGUAGCUGGGACUACAGGCACCCAUCACCAUGCCCAGCUAACUUUUUGUAUUUUUUUCUUGUUGUUAUUGUAGAAACAGAGUUUUGCCAUGUUGCCCAGGCUGGUCUCAAACCCCUGGACUCAAGCAAUCCACCUGCCUUGGCUUCCCAAAGUGCUUGGGUUACAAGUGUGAGCCAUGGUGGCUGGCCAGUUUGUUCUUUUUCUUUUUUUAUUAGUGUGUACAAUUCCAUCGUACGAAAAUACAAUAAUUUAUCCGUUCUCUUGUUGAUGAACAUUUGGAUUGUU
RNAcentral lists this long non-coding RNA (1132 nucleotides) under Homo sapiens (human). RNAcentral's name for it is "HSALNT0263546". Lineage: Eukaryota; Metazoa; Chordata; Mammalia; Primates; Hominidae. The record is from RNAcentral.